UUUACUGGGGAGAAAAGCAAAUCCUAGGUUGGUGUAGUGGUUAGAGUGCUGGACUAGGACCACAGAACACCCAAGUUCAAAUCCCCCUUAAGCCAUGAUACUUGCUGGGUGACUCUGGGCCAGCCACUUCUCUCUCAGCCUAACCUACUUUACAGGGUUGUUGUGAGGAGAAACUUAAGUAUGUACUGGGCUCCUUGGAGGAAGAUCGGAACAUAAAUGUGUAAAUGCAUAAAUAAAACCAUGUACACAGCUUCAUGGCUGUCCUUGGAAAGCCCUGAAAGAGUGCUGGGCCCAGGGGCAAAUCAAACCGUGUGAGGCCCCUUCCAGUUAAUUCUACUGUGGGUUAAAAGAGCGGGGCCCGGGGCAGCCACCCUGCUUGCCAUGCCCUAAGGACAGCCCUGCACAGCUCUGGGCUCCUUGGAAGAAUGAUGAGAUAUAUAAAUGUAAAAUAAAUAAAAAUUGUAAAUUAGAAGCACACAAAUAUCCCAAGGUUUUAAACUUGCUUUGUGUUCAUUCUUAUAAUCAUCUUGCAAGGAUGAUAAUUUAUUCUCAUUUUUACAGAAAAGGAACAGAGGCUGACAUACAGUGACUGGAUCAAAGCUGUACACCUUUCCACUAAAAAAGUCACACAACAUGAUCCUCAAAGCAGAAGCGUCUUCUUGAAUAGUCCACCCAUAAACCACCCAACCACCACCGAGGAGUCUUAGCAGCUGCCUGGCAACCAUGGAAGUGCUUUCCUUUUGACAUCUGUCAAAGUCAUCACUUGAACCUUUGUUUGGAUACCCUGUCAAGUCCUCCUUGAUUUUUACUGUUCAGAAUUAGGCAGGUAGGAGAGAAUUUCCAUUUCAUUUUUGUCUGAUGCACUUUAUAGAUUUUAAUUGGAUGCUUGGUCUCAUUUGUCUUAUCGAGUGUUUCUUAUGUGCUGGGGUAAGAGUUUGAAAUUGCAACUACAGGUGUCAUUUUUGCUACUUACCAUGGAUUUACUACUGUGCUAUGUCCCCAGGCCACGUAGGCAGCUCUCUCAUCCCUAGCAGGAGAUGCAGUUGCCACAUAGACCUGGUUAUCAACAGCUCUGCAUUAAAGACAAAAAAAAAAUCACUAAGUAAAGCCUCAUACACUAGGUAAGGAUUAAAAAUAGUUGGGAAGAGCAACAGGCACUGAGCAGCCUUUAUAAGUUUAAUGCACUAUGCACUUUUCACAGUUCCUAAACAAAUCUGGAGUGGGAACACACGUGACAGACUAACCUCUGAAACUCAGAUAUCCCAAACUGGCUCAUUAAGUGUAUAUACACAGCUGUUUCAAUGGUGUUCUAAAAUAUAAAGGGUCACUCCCUAAUGACAGACAUGAUUAGAAACACUGCGCAAAUGUCAUGUCCCGACUGGAAGUCUCUAGUUUAAGUAGAAUCAAAUUCAUAGUUGUUCAAUAGUGAUUUUGAAUGAUUAAGUGCCAUCAAGUCCGUAUCAACUCUUAGUGACCACAUAGAUAGAUUCUCUCCAGGAUGAUCUGUCUUCAACUUGGCCUUUAAUGUCUCUCAACCAUAGUAGCUGUUCUCUAAUACAAAAACAAGUGAGACUUACUUUAUUUUUAAAAAAAUUCAGUUACAGUAUUUUGAAACUGCUUUUUCUAUUUAACACGUAAGCACACACACACCGCUGUACCCAAGACAAAGCAAUGAAUAAAUUCUCCUUAAACCCUGUUCACUUUGCUAGUUCUCACCGUCCUCUUUGCAGGAGUUCCCAGUGGGCUGGCCCAGUGGUCAAGUUAAAAGCCCCCGGAUACACCAAGAGCUGGCAACCUGAUUUAAAACAAAAAUAAUACCACCAAGAGAGGAGAAAGGAAUAGUCAUGCGAAAUCAGGAAAAAAAACCAUGGGAAAUAAGGAAAUAUCACUAGAAGUUUUGAGAUGUGUCCCUUACUUUGGUCAAGGCUGGUUUAUUAUUCUCUUUUCUCCAGUUUAUGUGGAUAUUCAGUAUAUUUUAAAGUUUAUAAUCAAUUUGAAAACUUCAGAAUAAAAAAGAUUGGAAUCCCCCUGAAA
Long non-coding RNA from Hemicordylus capensis (graceful crag lizard), 2034 nucleotides. RefSeq lists it as uncharacterized. NCBI's taxonomy places the organism in Eukaryota, Metazoa, Chordata, Lepidosauria, Squamata, Cordylidae. The transcript is spliced from 2 exons. The record is from RefSeq and is a predicted model, not a curated record.